Molecule: ribosomal RNA, 154 nt
Filed under: Candidatus Wolfebacteria bacterium CG18_big_fil_WC_8_21_14_2_50_39_7
Lineage: Bacteria; Candidatus Wolfeibacteriota
Description: partial 16S ribosomal RNA
Rfam family: Bacterial small subunit ribosomal RNA
Source: RNAcentral
ACAAUGGGUUGCUAAAGCGCAAGUUGGAGCUAAUCCCAUCAAAGCCGGCCCCAGUUCGGAUUGAGGGCUGAAACCCGCCCUCAUGAAGCCGGAAUCGCUAGUAAUCGCGCAUCAGCUAUGGCGCGGUGAAUACGUUCUCGAGUCCUGUACUCAC